GCCUGAACGGCCGCGGGCGAAGCCCGAAAGGGCCCGUCUGAGGAAAGUCCGAGCUCCACAGGGCAGAAUAACGGCUAACGGCCGCCGGGGGCGACCCCAGGGAAAGUGCAACAGAGAGAUACCGCCGCAGCCUGUCUGCGGCAAGGGUGGAAAGGCGAGGUAAGAGCUCACCAGCGCGCGGGGAACCGCGCGGCUCUGCAAACCCUAUUCGGAGCAACACCGCAGAGGGACACGAAGCGCCGGCCCGGCGCGUCCCGAGAAGGUGGCAAGAACCGGCGCGGCAACGCACGGUCAAGAUAGAUGGCCGUUCACGACAGAACUCGGCUUACAGGGCUGGUC
RNAcentral lists this RNase P RNA (339 nucleotides) under chicken gut metagenome. Its description in RNAcentral is "Bacterial RNase P class A". It matches the Rfam family "Bacterial RNase P class A". Rfam says of the family: Ribonuclease P (RNase P) is a ubiquitous endoribonuclease, found in archaea, bacteria and eukarya as well as chloroplasts and mitochondria. Its best characterised activity is the generation of mature 5'-ends of tRNAs by cleaving the 5'-leader elements of precursor-tRNAs. Cellular RNase Ps are ribonucleoproteins. The record is from RNAcentral.